This 440-nucleotide ribosomal RNA is filed under the name uncultured bacterium. RNAcentral's name for it is "partial 16S ribosomal RNA". It matches the Rfam family "Bacterial small subunit ribosomal RNA", at positions 338 to 795 of the family's 1533-position model. The record is from RNAcentral.
CCUACGGGCGGCAGCAGUGGGGGAUAUUGCACAAUGGGGGAAACCCUGAUGCAGCGACGCCGCGUGGGUGAAGAAGCGCCUCGGCGCGUAAAGCCCUGGCAGCAGGGAAGAAAAUGACGGUACCUGAAGAAGAAGCCCCGGCUAACUACGUGCCAGCAGCCGCGGUAAUACGUAGGGGGCAAGCGUUAUCAGGAUUUACUGGGUGUAAAGGGGGCGCAGACGGCGAGGCAAGCCAGGAGUGAAAGCCCGGGGCCCAACCCCGGGACUGAUCUUGGAACUGCGUGGAUAGAGUGCAGGAGGGGCAGGCGGAAUUCCUGGUGUAGCGGUGAAAUGCGUAGAUAUCAGGAGGAACACCGGUGGCGAAGGCGGCCUGCUGGACUGCAACUGACGUUGAGGCCCGAAAGCGUGGGGAGCAAACAGGAUUAGAUACCCCAGUAGUC